This 490-nucleotide ribosomal RNA is filed under the name uncultured bacterium. RNAcentral's name for it is "partial 16S ribosomal RNA". It matches the Rfam family "Bacterial small subunit ribosomal RNA", at positions 30 to 507 of the family's 1533-position model. The record is from RNAcentral.
AUUGAACGCUGGCGGCAGGCCUAACACAUGCAAGUCGAACGGUAACAGGAAGCAGCUUGCUGCUUCGCUGACGAGUGGCGGACGGGUGAGUAAUGUCUGGGAAACUGCCUGAUGGAGGGGGAUAACUACUGGAAACGGUAGCUAAUACCGCAUAACAUCGCAAGACCAAAGAGGGGGACCUUAGGGCCUCUUGCCAUCGGAUGCGCCCAGAUGGGAUUAGCUAGUAGGUGGGGUAACGGCUCACCUAGGCGACGAUCCCUAGCUGGUCUGAGAGGAUGACCAGCCACACUGGAACUGAGACACGGUCCAGACUCCUACGGGAGGCAGCAGUGGGGAAUAUUGCACAAUGGGCGCAAGCCUGAUGCAGCCAUGCCGCGUGUAUGAAGAAGGCCUUCGGGUUGUAAAGUACUUUCAGCGGGGAGGAAGGGAGUAAAGUUAAUACCUUUGCUCAUUGACGUUACCCGCAGAAGAAGCACCGGCUAACUCCGUG